Phascolarctos cinereus (koala) is the source of this 1183-nucleotide long non-coding RNA. RefSeq lists it as uncharacterized. Lineage: Eukaryota; Metazoa; Chordata; Mammalia; Diprotodontia; Phascolarctidae. The record is from RefSeq and is a predicted model, not a curated record.
GUAGCUACAGAUUUUUAUUUUCCUGGUUUUUUCUGCUUCAUCAGCUAAAACAGAAGCUUUUUAGCUAAGGGAGUAAAGGAGUCAUGUGGUAUGAGUUUCUUUUUAACUUGCCUGGAUACUGAUCAGCCCCAUUCUAGACUCACAGUAACUCUGAGCUAUCCCACAGGCUGUGCUGGGGCCAGUCCUCUGAUUCAGCUAAGGAUGGUGAAAAUGAGAUGGGUCCUCCUCUGGGAGGGAGCUGGCCCUGCCAGCCCAUCUUGGCUCAUGAGGACGCUUUGAUCUGAACCACCCUUACCUUCUCCAACCCAUCGCUUUUCAGAGCAAUUAGGCAUUACAGGUGCUUUCCCAAGAGGCAAGGAACACCUGAAUGAACCUCAGGGGGCCUUUGAACUUUGGGCUAGUCUCUGCCUGAUUAGCUUGGAGCCUCUGAUCAGUGCAAUGAUAAACUGUGAGGCCAGAAGACUGAAGAUGAAACACAGCAUACCACUGGCCUCCCGCCAGAGAAGUAAUGGACUUAAAACUAGAGAGGAACAUACACUUUCCAGUCCUGGCCAACGUGAGAAUCGGUGUCGCUGGACCAUCCACAUUUCAUGUUAAAAGACCCAAGUGAAAUCAUCAAACGGGUUCAUUUUAUCUGCUAUGAAAGACUUAGGAGAGAACAUGACAAGAACAUGACAAGAACAUGAGAAGAAGCUGAAAACCCAGAUGAGUCGCAAUCUGUGCCAUUACAGGGAGUGUCUGUUUCGGGGAGAUCCUGGGGCUUUUAAAGCAUUAACGUACAAGACAACGUGACUUGCCCAAUAAGAAACUUCCCUACAAUGAACAUGAAAGAGCCACAGACCUUUGGGACCCCAAAUUAGCUCUCAACCUUGGGAAAAGUUAUGGGGCAAAUGACUUGCCAGUUUGAGGGGUGGGCAGCCCUCAGGGGACAGAAUUGCUAUUCACCAUCUCAGAAUAUGCUAAGGGUGCUUCAGUUCUGCCUUCCUUUUUAGAACUUGUGUAGCCCAUGUUGUUGAAAUAUAGACAGUUCUCUAUUAUCCACGCUAACAGAGCUCAGCCUUAGAGUAGCUAAUUCACGAGUUAUUUGUAGUGACCCUUCGGAAUGUAGUAGAUGAUGUUUUCUCCCUCAAAGCUUAAUUACACUUGGCUUAGGCUGUUAUUAAAGUUUGUUCGUGUUUUCUAA